Hibiscus syriacus is the source of this 314-nucleotide long non-coding RNA. RefSeq lists it as uncharacterized. NCBI's taxonomy places the organism in Eukaryota, Viridiplantae, Streptophyta, Magnoliopsida, Malvales, Malvaceae. The record is from RefSeq and is a predicted model, not a curated record. The transcript is spliced from 3 exons.
UCUCUUCCUUUCUCUGCAGCUAUAGAACUUACCCCAGUAAUAUUCACAUACGUAUUAUACUCCAAAAUUGUUCCCUUUCUUUUCUUUUUUAUUCUUAAUACGUUGCACGACUUUUCUAGCUGCCCUUCGUCUUCCUCUUUCUUUUAUUUAAUGCCUCCUGUCAUUUGGUUCUCCAUUUCUCUCCCUUCACUUUUGAGAGUUCUAGAGCAAAGAACAAGCCAAGUUGGGGUUUGUUUUCUCACCCUUUUUGUUUGAUUUCUUUUCCCUUUGUUAAGAUCUUGUUCAUAAAGUUAUGGGGAGAAAGAGGAGGGACA